AUUGAACGCUGGCGGCAUGCUUUACACAUGCAAGUCGAACGGCAGCGGGGUAGUGCUUGCACUACUGUCCGGCGAGUGGCGAACGGGUGAGUAAUAUAUCGGAACGUACCGAGUAAUGGGGGAUAACCAAUCGAAGGAUUGGCUAAUACCGCAUACGUCCUACGGGAGAAAGCGGGGGAUCGCAAGACCUCGCGUUAUUCGAGCGGCCGAUAACUGAUUAGCUAGUUGGUGGGGUAAAGGCCUACCAAGGCGACGAUCAGUAGCGGGUCUGAGAGGACGAUCCGCCACACUGGUACUGAGACACGGCCCAGACUCCUACGGGUGGCAGCAGUGUUGUAUUGUGGACAAUGGGGGCAACCUUGAUCCAUCAUGCCGUGUGGUAUUGAAGAAGGCCUUCUUGUGAUAGUGCCUUUUGUUAGGUAGAAUUGUUAGUGUUAUUUGUCUUUUUUGCUGACGGUCUUAAAGAUAAUUGCCGUUAUCUCUUGUCAUCAGCCUUGGUGUAUAUGAUGGGUGUGAGUUUUAUUUUGUGUGUUUGGUGUGUGAGUGUGUGUGCUGUGUGUUGUUUUUUGGUAUUUUUAGUCCUGUGCUGAUCCUGUGAAGGUGGUGCUUGAUUGUGUGUUUUGAUGUGUGUGGAGUUUGUUGUAAAUGGUGGCAUUUGAUGUUGUGUAGUUGUGAUAUAUGUAGAUGUAUUGUGUGUGUAUGUCUUGUGUGUGUAGUGUGUGUGUGUGUGUGUUUACCUGGUUGUUGACUUGUGUGAUGUUGUUUGAUAUGUUUGUGUGUGUAGAUGUCGUGUUUGUUGUGUGGUGAUGUAGUGUGCUACUGUUGGUGUGAAUAUGAAGAUAGUGAUGUGUGUGCUAUGUUAAUUGUUGUGUUGUUGCUUUUGUUUGAUGUGUAUGUUUGUCUUGCAUGCUGUCUGACGUGUAGUUAGUUUGAUGGUGAUGUUGGAGUGUGCUACUGAUGCUGCCUAUUUUUGCCCG
This 977-nucleotide ribosomal RNA is filed under the name uncultured Moryella sp. RNAcentral describes it as "partial 16S ribosomal RNA". The stretch from base 3 to 522 matches the Rfam family "Bacterial small subunit ribosomal RNA", at positions 30 to 543 of the family's 1533-position model. Lineage: Bacteria; Bacillati; Bacillota; Clostridia; Lachnospirales; Lachnospiraceae. The record is from RNAcentral.